UUCGUACAAGAGGAAGCUGAGCUUGCUCAGUCACUCGAUCUAUUCAAUCAUGUACAAUAUAUGAUCGGUGAUAGAUGCUCCCUCACUUAUCUGAGCAUUGAAAAUGGUAGAACUAGUUUUGUACCGCUCAACAUCAUCGGGAGUAUCAAAGGACUCUCUCAACACCUUGAGCAUGUCCUCUGACUGAGCCUCUUCAAACUUUUGACUAAACUCAUCAUUCAUGGAGGCCCACAUUAUACAACAAAUCAUGGUGUAGUCGUUGAGCCACUUCAAGUAAGUAUCUCUAACUAUGCCACAAGCGU
Molecule: long non-coding RNA, 302 nt
Filed under: Elaeis guineensis (African oil palm)
Lineage: Eukaryota; Viridiplantae; Streptophyta; Magnoliopsida; Arecales; Arecaceae
Description: long non-coding RNA (EGUI_LNC041941)
Source: RNAcentral